This 468-nucleotide ribosomal RNA is filed under the name uncultured bacterium. RNAcentral's name for it is "partial 16S ribosomal RNA". It matches the Rfam family "Bacterial small subunit ribosomal RNA", at positions 28 to 507 of the family's 1533-position model. The record is from RNAcentral.
GACGAACGCUGGCGGCGUGCUUAACACAUGCAAGUCGAACGGAAAGGCGCUGCUUUUGUGGGGUGCUCGAGUGGCGAACGGGUGAGUAACACGUGAGUAACCUGCCCUUGACUGUGGGAUAACUUCAGGAAACUGGGGCUAAUACCGGAUAGGAUCUCCUGCUGCAUGGUGGUGGUAGGAGAGUGUCGGCGGUUGGGGAUGGACUCGCGGGUUAUCAGCUUGUUGGUGGGGUAGUGGCUUACCAAGCCUUUGACGGGUAGCAGGCCUGAGAGGGUGACCGGCCACAUUGGGACUGAGAUACGGCCCAGACUCCUACGGGAGGCAGCAGUGGGGAAUAUUGCACAAUGGGCGGAAGCCUGAUGCAGAAACGCCGCGUGCGGGAUGACGGCCUUCGGGUUGUAAACCGCUUUCGCCUGUGACGAAGCGUGAGUGACGGUAAUGGGUAAAGAAGCACCGGCUAACUACGUG